This 468-nucleotide ribosomal RNA is filed under the name uncultured bacterium. RNAcentral's name for it is "partial 16S ribosomal RNA". It matches the Rfam family "Bacterial small subunit ribosomal RNA", at positions 28 to 507 of the family's 1533-position model. The record is from RNAcentral.
GACGAACGCUGGCGGCGUGCUUAACACAUGCAAGUCGAACGGAAAGGCCCUGCUUUUGUGGGGUUCUCGAGUGGCGCACGGGUGAGUAACACGUGAGUAACCUGCCCUUGACUUUGGGAUAACUUCAGGAAACUGGGGCUCAUACCGGAUAGGAGCUCCUGCUGCAUGGUGGGGGUUGGAAAGUUUCGGCGGUUGGGGAUGGACUCGCGGCUUAUCAGCUUGUUUGUGGGGUAGUGGCUUACCAAGGCUUUGACGGGUAGCCGGCCUGAGAGGGUGACCGGCGACAUUGGGACUGAGAUACGGAGCAGACUGCUACGGGAGGCAGUAGGGGAGAAUAUUGCACAAUGGGCGGAAGCCAGAUGCAGCAACGCCGCGUGCGGGAUGACGGCCUUCGGGUUGUAAACCGCUGUCGCCUGUGACGAAGCGUGAGUGACGGUAAUGGGUAAAGAAGCACCGGCUAACUACGUG